CUCUAACCAACACAGUGGAAUAAUGUCAGCAAUAUUUUCUUAAGUGAAAUGAGAGAAUUUUGAACUACCGAAGAUAGAGAUAUUAGACCAGUGGCUUUCCAUGAUAUAUAUCUCCUCCAUGUGAGAGCGUUUUUUAUUAGCCUCGUAUUUUUUUACUCUUCUUUCUCCCCUUUUUCAUUCCUCUCCUCCUCAAAUUAAACUAAAAAGAAGCAGAAACAGGAGCAGAAGUAAAGCAAUUGCUUCAUUUUGCCCAGCCUGUAUCUUUAUAUUCAAAUACAACAGCAGAACCCUAGCUCUGGUCACCAUGAUGACCACCUCGUCUCAAAGAUGACCAGGAUGGGGUCCUUGGCUUUGCUUGCUCCAGAGACUGCUGAACUUGGCGCUCUUUCAGAGGUGGCUUGGGCUAAGAAAUGUCCAGUCGUCUUUGAAGAGCUAUCUCCCCCUUAUUCAGUUUAGCCUACUACUCAGCUGAAGUCUAUUC
RNAcentral lists this long non-coding RNA (481 nucleotides) under Bos taurus (domestic cattle). Its description in RNAcentral is "long non-coding RNA NONBTAT003003". Lineage: Eukaryota; Metazoa; Chordata; Mammalia; Artiodactyla; Bovidae. The record is from RNAcentral.